This 301-nucleotide ribosomal RNA is filed under the name uncultured bacterium. RNAcentral's name for it is "partial 16S ribosomal RNA". It matches the Rfam family "Bacterial small subunit ribosomal RNA", at positions 509 to 808 of the family's 1533-position model. The record is from RNAcentral.
CAGCAGCCACGGUAAUACGGAGGGUGCAAGCGUUGUCCGGAUUUAUUGGGUUAAAGGGUGCGUAGGUGGUCUGCUUAGUCUGGUUUGAAAGCUGGUCGCUUAACGAUCAGAUGUGGCUGGAAACUGGUGGACUUGAAUGGGUUGGCGGUAGCUGGAACGGGUCAUGUAGCGGUGAAAUGCAUAGAUAUGACCCAGAACCCCGAUUGCGAAGGCAGGCUACUACGACUUGAUUGACACUGAGGCACGAGAGCAUGGGGAGCCAACAGGAUUAGAUACCCGGGUAGUCCCUGUCUCUUAUACA